RNAcentral lists this ribosomal RNA (460 nucleotides) under uncultured bacterium. RNAcentral's name for it is "partial 16S ribosomal RNA". It matches the Rfam family "Bacterial small subunit ribosomal RNA", at positions 338 to 795 of the family's 1533-position model. The record is from RNAcentral.
CCUACGGGAGGCAGCAGUGAGGAAUAUUGGUCAAUGGACGAGAGUCUGAACCAGCCAAGUAGCGUGAAGGAUGACUGCCCUAUGGGUUGUAAACUUCUUUUAUAAAGGAAUAAAACGAGGCACGUGUGCCUUUUUGCAUGUACUUUAUGAAUAAGGAUCGGCUAACUCCGUGCCAGCAGCCGCGGUAAUACGGAGGAUCCGAGCGUUAUCCGGAGUUAUUGGGUUUAAAGGGAGCGUAGAUGGGUUGUUAAGUCAGUUGUGAAAGUUUGCGGCUCAACCGUAAAAUUGCAAUUGAUACUGGCAGUCUUGAGUACAGUUGAGGUAGGCGGAAUUCGUGGUGUAGCGGUGAAAUGCUUAGAUAUCACGAAGAACCCCGAUUGCGAAGGCAGCUCACUAAACUGUGACUGACAUUGAUGCUCGAAAGUGUGGGUAUCAAACAGGAUUAGAUACCCGAGUAGUC